Molecule: non-coding RNA, 24 nt
Filed under: Arabidopsis thaliana (thale cress)
Lineage: Eukaryota; Viridiplantae; Streptophyta; Magnoliopsida; Brassicales; Brassicaceae
Source: RNAcentral
UGGGUUUUGCUGGCUACUACAGGC